CAAUAGCGUAUAUUAAAGUUGUUGCGGUAAAAAAGCUCGUAGUUGGAUUUCUGUUGAGAGCGACCGGUCCAUACCAUGUAUGCGUAUCUGGCUUGCUCUCGGCAUCCUCUCGAUAGACGUUACUGCGCUUGAUUGCGUGGUGCGGAUCUCGGGACUUUUACUUUGAGGAAAUUAGAGUGUUCACGGCAGGCUUUCGCCAGAAUACAUUAGCAUGGAAUAAUACUAUAGGAUCUUGGUUCUAUUUUGUUGGUUUCUAGAAUUGAGAUAAUGAUUAAUGGGGACAAUUGGGGGCAUUCGUAUCAACACGUCAGAGGUGGAAUUCUUGGAUUGUGUUGCGACGAACUACUGCGAAAGCAUUUGCCAAGGAUGUUUUCAUUGA
RNAcentral lists this ribosomal RNA (379 nucleotides) under uncultured eukaryote. RNAcentral's name for it is "partial 18S ribosomal RNA". It matches the Rfam family "Eukaryotic small subunit ribosomal RNA", at positions 592 to 976 of the family's 1831-position model. The record is from RNAcentral.